This 211-nucleotide ribosomal RNA is filed under the name uncultured fungus. Its description in RNAcentral is "partial small subunit ribosomal RNA". The stretch from base 85 to 211 matches the Rfam family "Eukaryotic small subunit ribosomal RNA", at positions 734 to 863 of the family's 1831-position model. The record is from RNAcentral. Lineage: Eukaryota; Fungi.
GGCCGAAUCGACCGGUCGGUCUUUGACUUGUACUGGGAGAUUCGGUCUUACCUUCUGGGCUCCAUUGUGCCUUUAAUAGGGUGCUUUGGCAGUCCAGGACAUUUACCUUGAAGAAAUUAGAGUGUUCAAGGCAGGCUUACGCUUGAAUACAUUAGCAUGGAAUAACAGAAUAGGACUUUGGUUCUAUUUUGUUGGUUUGAGGACCAAAGUA